Molecule: ribosomal RNA, 253 nt
Filed under: uncultured bacterium
Lineage: Bacteria
Description: partial 16S ribosomal RNA
Rfam family: Bacterial small subunit ribosomal RNA
Source: RNAcentral
UACGGGGGGGGCAAGCGUUGUUCGGAAUCACUGGGCGUAAAGGGCUCGUAGGUGGCCAACUAAGUCAGACGUGAAAUCCCUCGGCUUAACCGGGGAACUGCGUCUGAUACUGGAUGGCUAGAGAUUGGGAGAGGGAUGCGGAAUUCCAGGUGUAGCGGUGAAAUGCGUAGAUAUCUGGAGGAACACCGGUGGCGAAGGCGGCAUCCUGGACCAACACUGACGCUGAGGAGCGAAAGCCAGGGGAGCAAACGGG